CAGGUUACGGAGCCGACAAAGACCUAAAUGCGAGAGGAGAUAUCAAGAGUCCAGAUGUGGCUUUUGCCUGCAUCAAUGUGUCCUGGGAGGACAUGGUGUUUGGGAGGCAGUGCCAUGUCUUUCUGUCCGGACUCAUCCUGGACUCCAUAAGACUAGAGGACUCCAAGGACUGCACUCUCAAGAUAACCAACCUGGUCUAUUUCCUCUGGACAGGACAGGCGAAGGCUGAGGACUUUGUCUCUGAGCUGCUCAGAAUCAUUUGUUCUGAGAGACGGGAGAAGAGCAGAGAGCAGCUGCUCCUGCAGUGG
This is a long non-coding RNA of Oncorhynchus nerka (sockeye salmon), 308 nucleotides long. RefSeq lists it as uncharacterized. The transcript is spliced from 3 exons. Lineage: Eukaryota; Metazoa; Chordata; Actinopteri; Salmoniformes; Salmonidae. The record is from RefSeq and is a predicted model, not a curated record.